UCCUCAUCCUUUUCAGGAGAGAGUAGUUGGUUUAAGUACUUGGGCUAUCAUGUUCCAUGAGGCCUGCUGUUUCAGAAGGAAGGCCCAGACCCUCUGGCCCUGUUGACUCCUCCACUUGACACAGGGAGCUUGCUGUCUGAGAUGAAAGAUCUGGGCAGCCCAAUCGCUGUCACAGAAUCUUAUACACAGAGAAUACUGGGGAGUGUGGAUGGUUUUGCAGAGCUGUUCCCCAACGAACAAGAAGAGAUGGAGAAACUGGUAGCUGGGGAUGUGUCUUCCAGCAUGGCUGUCUUGCUCUCUGGACCCCUUCUCACCCAAGACAUCAGUAUCAGCGAGGUGAGUGCAUUUCCUUACAAUGCC
Non-coding RNA from Tinamus guttatus (white-throated tinamou), 360 nucleotides. The record is from RefSeq and is a predicted model, not a curated record. NCBI's taxonomy places the organism in Eukaryota, Metazoa, Chordata, Aves, Tinamiformes, Tinamidae.